GUGGGGAAUCUUAGACAAUGGGGGAAACCCUGAUCUAGCCAUGCCGCGUGAGCGAUGAAGGCCUUAGGGUUGUAAAGCUCUUUCAGCUGGGAAGAUAAUGACGGUACCAGCAGAAGAAGCCCCGGCUAACUCCGUGCCAGCAGCCGCGGUAAUACGGAGGGGGCUAGCGUUGUUCGGAAUUACUGGGCGUAAAGCGCGCGUAGGCGGACCAGAAAGUUGGAGGUGAAAUCCCCGGGCGCAACCUUGGAACUGCCUUCAAAACUCCUGGUCUGGAGUUCGAGAGAGGUGAGUGGAAUUCCGAGUGUAGAGGUGAAAUUCGUAGAUAUUCGGAGGAACACCAGUGGCGAAGGCGGCUCACUGGCUCGAUACUGACGCUGAGGUGCGAAAGCGUGGGGAGCAAACAGGAUUAGAUACCCCUGUAGUCC
This 425-nucleotide ribosomal RNA is filed under the name uncultured bacterium. RNAcentral describes it as "partial 16S ribosomal RNA". It matches the Rfam family "Bacterial small subunit ribosomal RNA", at positions 354 to 796 of the family's 1533-position model. The record is from RNAcentral.